CUGGAUGUGAUGACAGCUUCAGAGCUGAUGCUGGUGAUGGCUGUUGUGUUCGUACUGUCUGAUCCAU
Amazona collaria (yellow-billed parrot) is the source of this 67-nucleotide small nucleolar RNA. The record is from Ensembl. Lineage: Eukaryota; Metazoa; Chordata; Aves; Psittaciformes; Psittacidae.